RNAcentral lists this ribosomal RNA (852 nucleotides) under Trichophyton tonsurans. Its description in RNAcentral is "LSU rRNA". It matches the Rfam family "Eukaryotic large subunit ribosomal RNA", at positions 76 to 942 of the family's 3401-position model. Lineage: Eukaryota; Fungi; Ascomycota; Eurotiomycetes; Onygenales; Arthrodermataceae. The record is from RNAcentral.
UGCCCCAGUAACGGCGAAGUGAAGCGGCAAGAAGCUCAAAUUUGAAAUCUGGCCUCCCCCGGGGGCCCGAGUUGUAAUUUGCAGAGGAUGUUUCGGGUGCGGCCGCCGUCUAAGUUCCUUGGAACAGGACGUCAGAGAGGGUGAGAAUCCCGUCUUGGGCGGGCGGUCCGCGCCCGUGUGAAGCUCCUUCGACGAGUCGAGUUGUUUGGGAAUGCAGCUCUAAGCGGGUGGUAAAUUUCAUCUAAAGCUAAAUAUUGGCCGGAGACCGAUAGCGCACAAGUAGAGUGAUCGAAAGGUUAAAAGCACCUUGAAAAGGGAGUUAAACAGCACGUGAAAUUGUUGAAAGGGAAGCGCUUGCGGCCAGACUCGGGGGCGGGGUUCAGCGGGUGCUCGUCGCCCGUGUAUUCCUCGUUUCCCGGGCCAGCAUCAGUUUCGACGGCCGGUCAAAGGCCCCCGGAAUGUGUCGUCUCUCGGGACGUCUUAUAGCCGGGGGUGCAAUGCGGCCCGUCGGGACUGAGGAACGCGCUCCGGCUCGGAUGCUGGCGUAAUGGCCGUAAGCGGCCCGUCUUGAAACACGGACCAAGGAGUCUAACAUCCACGCGAGUGUUCGGGUGUCAAACCCGUGCGCGCAGUGAAAGCGAACGGAGGUGGGAGCCCUAGGGCGCACCAUCGACCGAUCCUGAAGUCUUCGGAUGGAUUUGAGUAGGAGCGUGGCCGUUGGGACCCGAAAGAUGGUGAACUAUGCCUGAAUAGGGUGAAGCCAGAGGAAACUCUGGUGGAGGCUCGCAGCGGUUUCUGACGUGCAAAUCGAUCGUCGAAUUUGGGCAUAGGGGCGAAAGACUAAUCGAACCA